Molecule: ribosomal RNA, 253 nt
Filed under: uncultured bacterium
Lineage: Bacteria
Description: partial 16S ribosomal RNA
Rfam family: Bacterial small subunit ribosomal RNA
Source: RNAcentral
GACGUAGGGGGCCAGCGUUGUUCGGAAUUACUGGGUGUAAAGGGUUCGUAGGCGGUGUGGCAAGUCGGGAGUGAAAUCUCUGGGCUCAACCCAGAGGCUGCUUCCGAAACUGCUGUGCUUGAGUGUGGGAGAGGCGCGUGGAAUUGCAGGUGUAGCGGUGAAAUGCGUAGAUAUCUGCAGGAACACCCGUGGCGAAAGCGGCGCACUGGACCACAACUGACGCUGAGGCGCGAAAGCUAGGGGAGCAAACAGG